UCCCUGGUGGUUCAGACGGUAAAGAAUCUGCCUGCAAUGCAGAAGACCCAGAUUCAAUCCCUGGUUGGGAAG
Molecule: transfer RNA, 72 nt
Filed under: Bos taurus (domestic cattle)
Lineage: Eukaryota; Metazoa; Chordata; Mammalia; Artiodactyla; Bovidae
Also listed under: 1 other name
Rfam family: tRNA
About the family: Transfer RNA (tRNA) molecules are approximately 80 nucleotides in length. Their secondary structure includes four short double-helical elements and three loops (D, anti-codon, and T loops).
Source: Rfam by way of RNAcentral